Molecule: transfer RNA, 68 nt
Filed under: Callimerus nigroapicalis
Lineage: Eukaryota; Metazoa; Arthropoda; Insecta; Coleoptera; Cleridae
Description: tRNA-Ser
Source: RNAcentral
AGUUUAUGAGCUUGAAUAAGCAUAUAUUUUGAAAAUAUAAGAAAGAAGUUAUAUUCUUCUAUAAACUU